UAGUCGCCACGGUAAUACGUAGGUCCCGAGCGUUGUCCGGAUUUAUUGGGCGUAAAGGGUACGUAGGUGGCCUUUUAAGCGUAGGGUAUAAGGCAAUGGCUCAACCAUUGUUCGCCCUAUGAACUGGAAGGCUUGAGUGCAGGAGAGGAAAGCGGAAUUCCCAGUGUAGCGGUGAAAUGCGUAGAUAUUGGGAAGAACACCAGUGGCGAAGGCGACUUUCUGGACGAAAACUGACGCUGAGGCGCGAAAGCCAGGGGAGCGAACGGGAUUAGAUACCCGGGUAGUCCCUGUCUCUUAUACA
This 301-nucleotide ribosomal RNA is filed under the name uncultured bacterium. RNAcentral's name for it is "partial 16S ribosomal RNA". It matches the Rfam family "Bacterial small subunit ribosomal RNA", at positions 509 to 809 of the family's 1533-position model. The record is from RNAcentral.